UACGGAGGGGGCUAGCGUUGUUCGGAAUUACUGGGCGUAAAGCGCACGUAGGCGGCUUUGUAAGUUAGAGGUGAAAGCCCGGGGCUCAACUCCGGAAUUGCCUUUAAGACUGCAUCGCUAGAACGUCGGAGAGGUAAGUGGAAUUCCGAGUGUAGAGGUGAAAUUCGUAGAUAUCGGGAGGAACACCUGUGGCGAAAGCGGCUCACUGGACCACAACUGACGCUGAGGCGCGAAAGCUAGGGGAGCAAACAGG
This 253-nucleotide ribosomal RNA is filed under the name uncultured bacterium. RNAcentral's name for it is "partial 16S ribosomal RNA". It matches the Rfam family "Bacterial small subunit ribosomal RNA", at positions 524 to 776 of the family's 1533-position model. The record is from RNAcentral.